UACAGAGGAUGCAAGCGUUAUCCGGAAUGAUUGGGCGUAAAGCGUCUGUAGGUGGCUUUUUAAGUCUGCUGUGAAAUCCCCGAGCUCAACUUGGGAAUUGCAGUGGAUACUGGCAAGCUGGAGUACGGUAGAGGAAGGUGGAAUUCCCGGUGUAGCAGUGAAAUGCGUAGAGAUCGGGAGGAACACCAGUGGCGAAGGCGGCCUUCUGGACCAGUACUGACGCUCAUGCACGAAAGCGUGGGGAGCAAACAGG
This 253-nucleotide ribosomal RNA is filed under the name uncultured bacterium. RNAcentral's name for it is "partial 16S ribosomal RNA". It matches the Rfam family "Bacterial small subunit ribosomal RNA", at positions 524 to 776 of the family's 1533-position model. The record is from RNAcentral.